RNAcentral lists this long non-coding RNA (808 nucleotides) under Monodelphis domestica (gray short-tailed opossum). RNAcentral's name for it is "lncRNA (ENSMODG00000043491.1)". Lineage: Eukaryota; Metazoa; Chordata; Mammalia; Didelphimorphia; Didelphidae. The record is from RNAcentral.
ACAUGGCCACCCAUAUGCUCUGGAGCCUGGCUUACGCAGCCUCCUUCUCCAUGCCCCCUCCCCUGCAUUUGGGGCCUGAUUCAGGCAGCUUCUUUUCUUUUCUUCCCUCCCAGCCUGGCUCCUGCAGACCCCCUCUCCUCCUUGCCUCUGGCUGGUUCAUACAUCAGAUGCUUCCCACCAUCCAGGGGAACUGAGCCCAUCCAUGUGUGAUUAAUACAUUGAACUUCCCUGCUGCCCAGAGAGACACCAGAAUCAGGAUCCCAGGAUGAGUCUAAGUGAUAAGAAUACACUCAACCAAAUGCUAUAUCAACCAUAUCAACAGCAAAAUGAUGACACAUCACCAGAUUGACUGAAUUGGCAAGAAGUCUCAGUGCCAUUGAGAGAUCUUGGUAUGAAGUUAGAAUUCUUCCUUCCUCAAGGUCAUGGGACCAAGAAAUCUUGCAGUGACAGUGCUUUAGGGAACCUGGGCCAAGGGCUGGGCCCAGACCAGCUGCCGCCUGUGAUGUCAGCCAUUAUCCAGAAGGAUGCCUACCCUACAGUCAUGACUACCAAGUGUACAGAGCACCUCUCAACAACCCAGCUGUUGUUCCAACAACGAGAAGGCUCAGCUUCUAGAAAAAGACUCCCCUUUGUCCUUCCACUGCUCUGGGGGAAUCUCAAGAGUCAGUUAGUACAGGUUCUCUUCCUCUGGAACAGCAGAGUGUAAGACUUUCAGUCAGAAGACCUGGGUUUGAAUGCCAAACCCGAGGCUGACUGGCUGCUUGACUCAGCUCCUCUGAGCAUGUUUUCUUUAGAGUAAAAUGGGAAA